AGAGUUUGAUCCUGGCUCAGAUUGAACGCUUGCGGCACGCUUAACACAUGCAAGUCGAACGGGUAAGAAAGUGAGGUCGAAAGAAGUAGUUUUUUUACUAGUGGCGAACGGGUGAGUAACAUAUGAGAAUCUACCUUAAAGAGGGGGAUAACUGGGAGAAAUUCCGGCUAAUACCGCAUAAACUCUGAGGAGCAAAGCUGGGGAGCGCUGAGAGGUGUCCUGGUGCUUUAAGAUGGGCUCAUAUUGGAUUAGCUAGUUGGUGGGGUAAAGGCCUACCAAGGCGACGAUCCAUAGCUGGUCUGGGAGGAUGAUCAGCCACACUGGCACUGAGAUACGGGCCAGACUCCUACGGGAGGCAGCAGUGGGGAAUAUUGGACAAUGGGGGGAACCCUGAUCCAGCGAUGCCGCGUGUGCGAAGAAGGCCUACGGGUUGUAAAGCACUUUAGGUAUGGACGAGAAGUUUAUUUUUAAUAGAGGUAGAUGGAGACGGUACAUACAGAAUAAGCACCGGCUAGCUCUGUGCCAGCAGCUGCGGUAAUACAGAGGGUGCGAGCGUUAAUCGGACUGAUUGGGCGUAAAACGCGAGUAGGCGGUAGACUAAGUUAAAUGUGAAAUUCCGAAGCUUAACUUCGGAGCUGCGUUUAAAACUGGUGUACUAGAGAUUGGCAGAGGGGAGUAGAAUUUCCAGUGCAGCGGUGAAAUGCGUAGAUAUUGGAAGGAAUACCAGUGGCGAAGGCGACUCUCUGGGCCGAUACUGACGCUGAGGAGCGAGAGCGUGGGGAGCAAACAGGAUUAGAUACCCUGGUAGUCCACGCUGUAAACGAUGAGUACUAGCUGAUACCGAGAGGUAGUGGCGAAGCUAACGCGAUAAGUACUCUGCCUGAGUAUUACGGCCGCAAGGCUAAAACUCAAAGGAAUUGACGGGGGCCCGCACAAGCGGUGGAGCAUGUGGUUUAAUUCGAUGCUACGCGAAGAACCUUACCUGCCCUUGACAUCCAGUGAAGUCCUGGGAGACCGGGAUGUGCCAGAGAUGGAGCAUUGAGACAGGUGCUGCAUGGCUGUCGUCAGCUCGUGUCGUGAGAUGUCGGGUUAAGUCCCAAAACGAGCGCAACCCCUAUACUUAGUUGCCACUUUUCGAAGGGAACUCUAAGUAGACUGCCUGUGAUAAGCAGGAGGAAGGUGGGGAUGAAGUCAAGUCAUCAUGGCCUUUAUGGGCAGGGCUACACACGUGCUACAAUGGUGCAUACAGAGGGAAGCGAAACUGCGAAGUGGAGCGGAUCCCAAAAAGUGCAUCUCAAUAUGGAUUGCAGUCUGAAACUCGACUGCAUGGAACUGAAAUCGCUAGUAAUCGCAGAUCAGCAGGCUGCGGUGAAUACGUUCUCGGGCCUUGUACACACCGCCCGUCAAACCAUGGGAGUAGAUUGUACCAGAAGGGGAUAGACUAACCGAGAGGGGGUCGUUCACGACGGUAUGGUUUAUGACUGGGGUUAAGUCGAAACAAGGUA
This 1505-nucleotide ribosomal RNA is filed under the name metagenome. Its description in RNAcentral is "bacterial SSU rRNA". It matches the Rfam family "Bacterial small subunit ribosomal RNA". The record is from RNAcentral.